RNAcentral lists this ribosomal RNA (466 nucleotides) under Nannochloris sp. MACC3. Its description in RNAcentral is "SSU rRNA". It matches the Rfam family "Eukaryotic small subunit ribosomal RNA", at positions 832 to 1297 of the family's 1831-position model. The record is from RNAcentral. Lineage: Eukaryota; Viridiplantae; Chlorophyta; Trebouxiophyceae; Chlorellales; Chlorellaceae.
UGGCCUAUCUUGUUGGUCUGUACGACCAGAGUAAUGAUUAAGAGGGACAGUCGGGGGCAUUCGUAUUUCAUUGUCAGAGGUGAAAUUCUUGGAUUUAUGAAAGACGAACUACUGCGAAAGCAUUUGCCAAGGAUGUUUUCAUUAAUCAAGAACGAAAGUUGGGGGCUCGAAGACGAUUAGACACCGUCCUAGUCUCAACCAUAAACGAUGCCGACUAGGGAUCGGCGGGUGUUUUUUUGAUGACCCCGCCGGCACCUUAUGAGAAAUCAAAGUUUUUGGGUUCCGGGGGGAGUAUGGUCGCAAGGCUGAAUAUUAAAGGAAUUGACGGAACGGCACCACCCCGCGUGGAGCCUGCGGCUUAAUUUGACUCUACCCGGGAAAACUUACCAGCUCCUCACAUAUUGUUGAUUCACACAUUUAGAGCUCUUUCUUGCUUCUAUGGGUGGUGGUGCAUGGCCUUUAUUAU